UACGUAGGGUCCGAGCGUUGUCCGGAAUUACUGGGCGUAAAGAGCUCGUAGGUGGUUUGUCGCGUUGUUCGUGAAAACUCACAGCUCAACUGUGGGCGUGCGGGCGAUACGGGGCAGACUAGAGUACUGCAGGGGAGACUGGAAUUCCUGGUGUAGCGGUGGAAUGCGCAGAUAUCAGGAGGAACACCGGUGGCGAAGGCGGGUCUCUGGGGCAGUAACUGACGCUGAGGAGCGAAAGCGUGGGGAGCGAACAGG
RNAcentral lists this ribosomal RNA (255 nucleotides) under uncultured bacterium. Its description in RNAcentral is "partial 16S ribosomal RNA". It matches the Rfam family "Bacterial small subunit ribosomal RNA", at positions 524 to 776 of the family's 1533-position model. The record is from RNAcentral.